AUGAACGCUAGCGGCAGGCCUAAUACAUGCAAGUCGAGCGGCAAGUCGAGGAGUAAUCUAAGACCUAGAGCGGCGCACGGGUGCGUAACGCGUAUGCAACCUACCUUAUACUGAGGGAUAGCCCGGAGAAAUCUGGAUUAAUACCUCAUGGUACAUAUUGAAGGCAUCUGAGAUAUGUUAAAGAUUUAUUGGUAUAAGAUGGGCAUGCGUCUGAUUAGCUAGUUGGCGGUGUAACGGACCACCAAGGCGACGAUCAGUAGGGGUUCUGAGAGGAAGGUCCCCCACACUGGCACUGAGAUACGGGCCAGACUCCUACGGGAGGCAGCAGUAGGGAAUAUUGGGCAAUGGUCGGAAGACUGACCCAGCCAUGCCGCGUGCAGGAAGACGGCCCUCUGGGCUGUAAACUGCUUUUAUCUGGGAAGAAAAAGGCCAUGCGUGGCAAAUUGCCGGUACCAGAUGAAUAAGCACCGGCUAACUCCGUG
RNAcentral lists this ribosomal RNA (482 nucleotides) under uncultured bacterium. Its description in RNAcentral is "bacterial SSU rRNA". It matches the Rfam family "Bacterial small subunit ribosomal RNA", at positions 29 to 507 of the family's 1533-position model. The record is from RNAcentral.